This 460-nucleotide ribosomal RNA is filed under the name uncultured bacterium. Its description in RNAcentral is "partial 16S ribosomal RNA". It matches the Rfam family "Bacterial small subunit ribosomal RNA", at positions 338 to 795 of the family's 1533-position model. The record is from RNAcentral.
CCUACGGGUGGCAGCAGUGAGGAAUAUUGGUCAAUGGACGGAAGUCUGAACCAGCCACGCCGCGUGCAGGAAGACGGCUCUAUGAGUUGUAACCUGCUUUUGUACAAGGGUAAACCUGAAUACGUGUAUUCAGCUGAAAGUACUGUACGAAUAAGGAUCGGCUAACUCCGUGCCAGCAGCCGCGGUAAUACGGAGGAUCCAAGCGUUAUCCGGAUUUAGUGGGUUUAAAGGGUGCGUAGGCGGAUUGAUAAGUUAGAGGUGAAAUGUCCGGGCUGAACUCGGGAACUGCCUCUAAUACUGUUGGUCUAGAGAAUAGAUGCGGUAGGCGGAAUGUAUGGUGUAGCGGUGAAAUGCUUAGAGAUCAUACAGAACACCGAUUGCGAAGGCAGCUUACCAAUCUAUAUCUGACGUUGAGGCACGAAAGCGUGGGGAGCAAACAGGAUUAGAUACCCCAGUAGUC